UACGUAGGGGGCAAGCGUUAUCCGGAUUUACUGGGUGUAAAGGGGGCGCAGACGGCGAUGCAAGCCAGGAGUGAAAGCCCGGGGCCCAACCCCGGGACUGCUCUUGGAACUGCGUGGCUGGAGUGCAGGAGGGGCAGGCGGAAAUCCUGGUGUAGCGGUGAAAUGCGUAGAUAUCAGGAGGAACACCGGUGGCGAAGGCGGCCUGCCGGACUGCAACUGACGUUGAGGCCCGAAAGCGUGGGGAGCAAACAGG
RNAcentral lists this ribosomal RNA (253 nucleotides) under uncultured bacterium. RNAcentral's name for it is "partial 16S ribosomal RNA". It matches the Rfam family "Bacterial small subunit ribosomal RNA", at positions 524 to 776 of the family's 1533-position model. The record is from RNAcentral.